This 1164-nucleotide long non-coding RNA is filed under the name Gallus gallus (chicken). RNAcentral's name for it is "lncRNA (ENSGALG00010007057.1)". The record is from RNAcentral. Lineage: Eukaryota; Metazoa; Chordata; Aves; Galliformes; Phasianidae.
CUCCAGAGAGUCAGAAACAUACGACAAAAAAUUAGGUGACAGGUCAAGAAGAACAACGGAAAGAACGGAAAUAACGGAAAGAACCUCCAGAGAGACAGAAAGAUACGGCAAAAAAUUAGGUGACAGGUCAAGAAGAACAACCGAAAUAACAGAAAAAACCAAAAUAACGGAAAUAAUAACGGAAAUAACAGAAAUAAUAACGGAAAUAGCGGAAAAAAUAACGGGAAUACUAAGAGAAAAAAAUAACGGAAAUAGUAACGGAAAUAACGGAUAUAACAGAAAUAACGGAAAUAACCUCCACAGAGACAGAAACAUACUGCAGAAAAUUAGGUGACAGGUGAAGAACAACAACGGAAAGAAUAGAAAUAACGGAAAGAACCUCCGAAACACAUAAACAUACAGCAGAAAAUUAGGUGAUAGGUCAAGAACAACAAUGGAAAGAACGGAAAUAACUACGGAAAUAACAACCGAAAGACAGAAACAUAGGGCAGAAAAUUAGGUGACAGGUAAGGAACAUCAACGGAAAUAACGGAAAUAAACACCGAAAGACGGAAUCAUACGGCAGAAAAUUAAGUGACAGGUCAAGAACAUCAACGGAAAGAACGGAAAUUACGGAAAGAACAGAAAUAACCUCCGAAAGACAGAAACAUACGGCAGAAAAUUAGGUGACAGGUCAAGAACAACAACGGAAAGAACGGAAAUAACGGAAAGAACCACCAGAGAGACAGAAACAUAGGGCAGAAAAUUAGGUGACAGGUCAAGAACAACAACGGAAAUUACGGAAAUAUCGGAAAUAAUGGAAAUAACAGAAAUAACGGAAAGAUCGGAAAGAACGGAAGGAACAGAAAGAACAGGAAGAACGGAAAAUACGGAAAUAAUAACGGUAAUAACGGAAAUAACCUCCACAGGGCCAGAAACAUGCAGCAGGAAAUUAAAUGACAGGUCUAGAACAACAACGGAAAUAACGGAAAUAACAACCGAAAUAACCUCCGAAAUACAGAAACAUACAGCAGAAAAUUAGGUGACAGGUGAAGAACAACAACGGAAAGAACAGAAAUAACGGAAAGGACCUCCAGAGAGUCAGAAACAUACGACAAAAAAUUAGGUGACAGGUCAAGAAGAACAACGGAAAGAACGGAAAUAACGGAAAGAACCUCCAGAGAG